This 1473-nucleotide ribosomal RNA is filed under the name uncultured bacterium. RNAcentral describes it as "16S ribosomal RNA". It matches the Rfam family "Bacterial small subunit ribosomal RNA". The record is from RNAcentral.
AGAGUUUGAUCCUGGCUCAGGAUGAACGCUGGCGGCGUGCCUAAUACAUGCAAGUCGAGCGAGAAUCAGUGAAGCAGAGAUUCGUCAAAGCGGAUCUGAGGAAAGCGGCGGACGGGUGAGUAACGCGUAGGCAACCUGCCCUUAGCAGAGGGAUAGCCAUUGGAAACGAUGAUUAAAACCUCAUAAUGCAGUUUCAACACAUGUUGGGAUUGCCAAAGAUUUAUCGGCUAAGGAUGGGCCUGCGUCUGAUUAACUAGUUGGUGAGGUAACGGCUCACCAAGGUGACGAUCAGUAGCCGACCUGAGAGGGUGAUCGGCCACAUUGGAACUGAGACACGGUCCAAACUUCUACGGAAGGCAGCAGUAAGGAAUCUUGCACAAUGGGGGAAACCCUGAUGCAGCAACGCCGCGUGAACGAUGAAGGCCUUAGGGUUGUAAAGUUCUGAUCUGUGGGAAGAAGAAGUGACGGUACCACAGGAGAAAGCCCCGGCUAAAUACGUGCCAGCAGCCGCGGUAAUACGUAUGGGGCAAGCGUUAUCCGGAAUUAUUGGGCGUAAAGAGUGCGUAGGUGGUUACCUAAGCGCAAGGUUUAAUCUUGAGGCUCAACCUCAUUCUGCCUUGCGAACUGGGCUACUUGAGUGCAGGAGGGGAAAGCGGAAUUCCCAGUGUAGCGGUGAAAUGCGUAGAUAUUGGGAAGAACACCGGUGGCGAAGCGGCUUUCUGGACUGUAACUGACACUGAGGCACGAAAGCGUGGGGAGCAAACAGGAUUAGAUACCCUGGUAGUCCACGCCGUAAACGAUGAGCACUAGUUGUUGGGUACGAAUGUAUUCAGUGACGCAGUUAACGCAAUAAGUGCUCCGCCUGGGGAGUACGGUGGCAACACUAAAACUCAAAGGAAUUGACGGGGACCCGCACAAGCAGCGGAGCAUGUGGUUUAAUUCGAAGCAACGCGAAAAACCUUACCAGGGCUUGACAUCCCUCUGACCGGCUCUUAACCGAGCCUUUCUUCGGACAGAGGUGACAGGUGGUGCAUGGUUGUCGUCAGCUCGUGUCGUGAGAUGUUGGGUUAAGUCCCGCAACGAGCGCAACCCUUGUCGUCAGUUACUAACAUUAAGUUGAGGACUCUGACGAGACUGCCGAGGUCAACUCGGAGGAAGGUGGGGAUGACGUCAAAUCAUCAUGCCCCUUAUGUUCUGGGCUACACACGUGCUACAAUGGUCGGUACAAUGAGAGGCAAUACAGUGAUGUGGAGCAAAUCACCAAAACCGAUCCCAGUUCGGAUUGCAGGCUGCAACUCGCCUGCAUGAAGUCGGAGUUGCUAGUAAUCGCGAAUCAGCAUGUCGCGGUGAAUGCGUUCCCGGGUCUUGUACACACCGCCCGUCACACCAUGGAAGUUGGGGGCGCCCAAAGUUGGCUAAUAAAUCUGCUACCUAAGGCGAAACCAAUGACUGGGGUGAAGUCGUAACAAGGUA